RNAcentral lists this transfer RNA (63 nucleotides) under Liposcelis nr. bostrychophila AZ. Its description in RNAcentral is "tRNA-Thr". The record is from RNAcentral. Lineage: Eukaryota; Metazoa; Arthropoda; Insecta; Psocodea; Liposcelididae.
UUAUUUUAGUUCAAACUUAAAAUAGAAAUUUUGUAAAUUUCUGUUAUAGUAAUUAUAAAUAAC